This is a long non-coding RNA of Callithrix jacchus (white-tufted-ear marmoset), 1055 nucleotides long. RefSeq lists it as uncharacterized. The record is from RefSeq and is a predicted model, not a curated record. NCBI's taxonomy places the organism in Eukaryota, Metazoa, Chordata, Mammalia, Primates, Cebidae.
AUUUGCCCCAGACAACAGGGCCACUUCACAGCCUUCUCACAUUAAAUUCCACACAUUGCAUGUCAGUGCUGUCACAGCUGUGUCUAUCACCACGGCAACAAGCAGAGGGACUCAAGGCAAGAAUGUGGACUGAGCACGGACUGGCCUAAGCUUGAGAUGGGGAUGUGCCGAGUGUGAGCCAUGGCUCAGUUCCACUCACUAUGCGACUUGAUGGACUCUCGCUGUGUCACCCAGGCUGGAGCACCAUGGCAAUAUCUCGGCUCACUGCAACCUUCACCUCCCAGGUUUAAGUGAUUCUCCUGUCUCAGCCUCCCAAGUAGCUGGGAUUACAGGGUAAAGUACCAUUACUUGUACUCGAGCUGGACACAGAUUCUGAACUGAAUGUAACAGCAGAUCAGAAGAAGCUCCCCCUUUGAGAAAAGAGAUAAUCCAGCCUACAGCAUACCAGCCUCCUCUCUGUGUGUGCAUAUGUACUUAUCUGAUGGAAACUGGACCACACUUUGACGGGCAGACAGAUGGCUGGUAGCCAUUUCAAGAAAUCAGCACAGUUCUAAUUCCCACAUGUCCUGCUCUGAUUCAGCCAUACAGCCUUUCUGGUAGGAGAACAAUGUGGCAUGGCUCUGUAAUAUGUCUCUUUGGGCAGACACAUGGUCAGAGUUGUGCCAUCGCCAGCUAAAACAGACAUAAAGAUUCCAACCAAGCACAUUCUGUGGCCCCCCCUUAAAACAGGGCCCAGCAUCCUGUGUUUAGCGAUUAGUGCAGGUAGGGAGGUCAUGGCUGAUCCAACCACAAUAGCAAAGUUCCCAAAGUACAGCCUACUUCAGAGAAUACCGAUGCAUCAUCAUGCCUUUGGGGUAUCUGAAUCCAGUGUUAAAACAGGUUAGAUAUAAUGACUGCAUCUGGUUAUGUUUAUUUUAGCACCAGCAAUAUUAAGACUAUCCAGUAUAUACCGGCAAGGGGAGAAAGGAAUGCCAAAAAUAGCUCUUCUAGCUUUUGCUAUGAACUGAAAACAUUACAGGCGUUCAUUCAAAGCCUCAGAUAUGGUUGGCACAGCU